CUUUUGGCAAUUUUUGACAAAAAGGGGGAGAUCAUAAGAAGAACAGGUAUUGAUCAAAUCAGAGGAUGGAGAGGAUGAAUUUAAAGUAAAAUGGGAAGAAGUGAUGAACAAAGGGGGAGAAGGAUCGAGUACAUUGAAUUGAAUGUAAGAUUUCUAUAUCUUUGUGGUUGAUCUGUUUUGCAAGACAUCAAGACUUCAUGACUCCUAGUUGCGUCUAAGUCAUAGAGUCUGUUUUAGGAGUUUAUGAUGUACUUUUGAGUUUCUUCUUGUAUUUGGACUACACGCGAGGAGUUCAAUGUUUUGGUGAUGAUAUUUGAACUUCGUUUUUUCUUUAAGAUGUAAUUUUUGAGUUUUUGUGAGUUUUGUCAUGAAAUUGCCAAAGAGGGAGAUUGUUAAG
This 397-nucleotide long non-coding RNA is filed under the name Ananas comosus (pineapple). Its description in RNAcentral is "long non-coding RNA (ACOM_LNC034586)". Lineage: Eukaryota; Viridiplantae; Streptophyta; Magnoliopsida; Poales; Bromeliaceae. The record is from RNAcentral.